RNAcentral lists this ribosomal RNA (460 nucleotides) under uncultured bacterium. RNAcentral describes it as "partial 16S ribosomal RNA". It matches the Rfam family "Bacterial small subunit ribosomal RNA", at positions 338 to 795 of the family's 1533-position model. The record is from RNAcentral.
CCUACGGGUGGCAGCAGUGAGGAAUAUUGGUCAAUGGACGAGAGUCUGAACCAGCCAAGUAGCGUGAAGGAUGACUGCCCUAUGGGUUGUAAACUUCUUUUAUAAAGGAAUAAAACGAGGCACGUGUGCCUUUUUGUAUGUACUUUAUGAAUAAGGAUCGGCUAACUCCGUGCCAGCAGCCGCGGUAAUACGGAGGAUCCGAGCGUUAUCCGGAUUUAUUGGGUUUAAAGGGAGCGUAGAUGGGUUGUUAAGUCAGUUGUGAAAGUUUGCGGCUCAACCGUAAAAUUGCAAUUGAUACUGGCAGUCUUGAGUACAGUAGAGGUAGGCGGAAUUCGUGGUGUAGCGGUGAAAUGCUUAGAUAUCACGAAGAACCCCGAUUGCGAAGGCAGCUUACUGGACUGUAACUGACAUUGAUGCUCGAAAGUGUGGGUAUCAAACAGGAUUAGAUACCCGUGUAGUC